Non-coding RNA from Camellia sinensis, 1785 nucleotides. The record is from RefSeq and is a predicted model, not a curated record. Lineage: Eukaryota; Viridiplantae; Streptophyta; Magnoliopsida; Ericales; Theaceae.
UACUAUUUGUUUAUUUUUUUUGUUUCUUCGAGAUUCAUAUGUUUGAGUGGUCUCAUCCCAGUUGGAACCACAAUUCUAUCUCCACCAUGGUUCUAACAAGUUUCUUGUUUUAGAUCGUAGAAACGUCACCCCAUUAGGCAAUUCUUGCAAUUAAGUUUCUUGUUAUGGUAUUUUUUUUUGUUUAUUUUUUAUUUUUUUAUCAAUGGGAUGUGUGUUAGUCCACUAGGUGUUGUUGUUGUAUCUUGUUUGAUUGCAUUCUUGAGUUUUCUAAGUAGUCUCAAGAUAAGGUUGCUGUUCUUCACGUAUAAACCGUUAGCUUGCAAUUCCUUGGUGAUUCUUUCAAGGGUUAAGUGCCCUUCUUUUGCAUUAAGAGUAUAUGGUAUUCAGCAUGAAGACAACACUAAGAAACGACCCCUAAGGUAAUUGAGUUACAGAAUUGAUCUAAACAAAGUAAUAAACUAAGGAUCAUGUAUAAAAACACAAUAAUGUGACACAAAAGAAGGCCCAUGGAACACUAGCUGAGCCCAUGCGCAGAAAAUCUUAAAAAUGAAAAAAGAAGAAAAAAAAGAUUUUUGACUCUUGAAGCAUAAAAAAGAUGUGGAAAACUAAACUAGCAGCAUGUCUAAUUCAGGGUAAUGAGAUCAGAAUUCAGUUGUAUAUACUUUCAACUUCUCCUGCCAUUUAUCUCCUAAAUCCCUCCCUAGCUUGGAAAUAUAUGAUCCCAACCCAAUGAGCUAAAGGCAUGGCAUAUUCAAAUUUUAAAGAUAAAUAUCAUGUUUUUUUUUUUUUUUUCUUCUCAUGAAAUGUGUAUUGUAAUUUGUAUAAACUAAAAGACCUUUGCCUCCAUUCCUUAGACUUACAAAGACAUUUUGCUCACAAUCUUGUGCAUUGUUUCCCAUUUUCUGAAUUUUUCACUAUGGUUGAGAUAUAUAUUCAAAUAUACUGUUAGAAGUAAUUUAGGAUUAUGCAGCUUUUUCUUCCUCAUUACUCCUUGUUUCUGUUCCGUGAUUGAUAAACUAAUGACUUUAAGGUGUGUAAGAGAGAUCUUGGAUCAAGUUUAUCUUUCCACACACUUCUGUUUUCAUGUUUUUUUUUAGUUAGAGAAAAAAGUAACACCGUCCUCGAAAGUGCGUGCAGAUGUUGUAAGAAGUGGAUUCUUGAAUACCCAAAAGGGAGCUUCUGAUGGAUGCCAAGAUGGUAACAAGGUAUCUGGUCAGCUGCAUAGAUAUGAGCAUCUGAGUAGAAUGGCAGCAAUUGACGAGUCAGAAAGCCUUUCUGAUAUCGAUGAUGUUGAGGUUGACAAAUAUCUGCACAGUAAGGAAGAGAUGCAUUACAAAAAGAUUAUUUGGGAACAAAUGAAUAGUAAACAUGAAACGAGCCAAGGUGCCGAGAAUGCCAACACGGAAGGCAUAAUUGCAAAAUGCGAUACAAAGUUUAACAAGAAGUUUAGCAUCGACAGAUUGAGUCUGAAAUAAUUAAGUAUGAUAAUGAAUUUGACCACAAGACUGAUUACGGUGAAGGUGUUGAAAGCUGCGGAGCCUAUGGUGUGGAUUAUGAUUAUGAGGAUUGACAUGAGAUAUGAAGAGCUUGGCUUUAUGUUAAAAUUUUAAAAUUUAUUAUUUGAUGUUACAUUAGUUUAUGAGAAAAUUUUGUAAAAAUAUAUUUUAUUUUUCUAUAAUUUUUUCUUUCCUGACACAUUCAUCACAUGACGAUGAAUAUGCUAUGAACUUGUGCCCUUACAUAGCUUGAGAAAGAAAUAAAAGAAAAUUUUGAUAUUAUUUAUUA